GUAGGUGAACCUGCGGAAGGAUCAUUCAUAAUAAGUGUUUUAUGGCACUUUUUAAAUCCAUAUCCACCUUGUGUGCAAUGUCAGUCGAUCUUCUUCAUGGAGAUCGACCAAACAUCAACCUUUAUUUUUUAACUCUUUGUCUGAAAAAUAUUAUGAAUAAACAAUUCAAAAUACAACUUUCAACAACGGAUCUCUUGGCUCUCGCAUCGAUGAAGAACGCAGCAUCUGACUGACUGAUAUGCGGCUGAUC
This 250-nucleotide unclassified non-coding RNA is filed under the name plant metagenome. RNAcentral's name for it is "partial contains small subunit ribosomal RNA, internal transcribed spacer 1, and 5.8S ribosomal RNA". The stretch from base 175 to 250 matches the Rfam family "5.8S ribosomal RNA", at positions 1 to 64 of the family's 154-position model. The record is from RNAcentral.